Molecule: ribosomal RNA, 459 nt
Filed under: Dasychira catocaloides
Lineage: Eukaryota; Metazoa; Arthropoda; Insecta; Lepidoptera; Erebidae
Description: partial large subunit ribosomal RNA
Source: RNAcentral
UGCCCACUGAUUUAUUAAAGGGCUGCAGUAAUUUGACUGUACAAAGGUAGCAUAAUCAUUAGUCACUUAAUUGGUGACUUGUAUGAAGGAUUGGAUGAAAUAUAAACUGUCUUUAUAAUAAGAUAUAUAAUUUAAUUUUUUAAUUAAAAAGUUAAAAUAAUUUAAAAAGACGAGAAGACCCUAUAGAGUUUUAUUUAUUAGUUAAUUGAUAUUAUUUAUAAAAUUAAAAUUUAAAUUAAUUAAUAAAUUUUAUUGGGGUGAUAAAAAAAUUAAAUUAACUUUUUUUUUAAGUAAAUUACCAUAAAUAAGUGAUUAAAUGAUCCAUUAAUAAUGAUUAUAAGAAAAAAUUACCUUAGGGAUAACAGCGUAAUUUUUUUUUUUAGUUCAAAUAAAAAGAAGAGUUUGCGACCUCGAUGUUGGAUUAAGAUAAAAUUUAAAUGUAGAAGUUUAAAAUUUUGA